GGACAUCAUAUACCAAGGUGACCAGGAGAGAGAGAAAGAAAUUAAAGUGAAUGGGUGAUUUAAUGUGUGCUGCUAUCCGUCAGAGAAAGUUCCUCUCCACUUUAAUCGGUUCCGUACACAGAUGAAAGCAGGCACCGUGACAUGGAAGGAGAGGCAGCUUGAGACAAAGGAGAUCCUGGUGGAAACUGUCCAUGGGGCAAGAUUACUGAUUCUCUUUGCCUAAAGAUGUCAUGAAGACCAGUGCAGUUAAGUUCCUUGGGAAAAAAAUCUAUAAAACAAAGGAAGAUCAGCCCUGAGCUAACCUCUGCUGCCAAUUCUCCUCUUUUUGCUGAGGAAGACUGGCCCUGAGCUAACAUCCGUGCCC
This 364-nucleotide long non-coding RNA is filed under the name Equus caballus (horse). RNAcentral describes it as "lncRNA (ENSECAG00000036424.3)". Lineage: Eukaryota; Metazoa; Chordata; Mammalia; Perissodactyla; Equidae. The record is from RNAcentral.